ACGUAGGUGGCAAGCGUUGUCCGGAAUUACUGGGCGUAAAGGAUGCGUAGGCGGAUAUAUAAGUCAGAUGUGAAAUACCCGGGCUCAACUUGGGUGCUGCAUUUGAAACUGUAUGUCUGGAGUGCAGAAGAGGAGAGUGGAAUUCCAUGUGUAGCGGUGAAAUGCGUAGAGAUCUGGAGGAAUACCGGUGGCGAAGGCGGCCCCCUGGACAAAGACUGACGCUCAGGUGCGAAAGCGUGGGUAGCAAACA
This 250-nucleotide ribosomal RNA is filed under the name uncultured bacterium. RNAcentral describes it as "partial 16S ribosomal RNA". It matches the Rfam family "Bacterial small subunit ribosomal RNA", at positions 525 to 774 of the family's 1533-position model. The record is from RNAcentral.